CCUCCUUCUGUUCGACCAAUU
Molecule: microRNA, 21 nt
Filed under: Echinococcus granulosus
Lineage: Eukaryota; Metazoa; Platyhelminthes; Cestoda; Cyclophyllidea; Taeniidae
Description: egr-miR-10254-5p
Source: miRBase by way of RNAcentral